Molecule: ribosomal RNA, 468 nt
Filed under: uncultured bacterium
Lineage: Bacteria
Description: partial 16S ribosomal RNA
Rfam family: Bacterial small subunit ribosomal RNA
Source: RNAcentral
GACGAACGCUGGCGGCGUGCUUAACACAUGCAAGUCGAACGGCAAGGCCCUGCUUUUGUGGUGUGCUCGAGUGGCGAACGGGUGAGUAACACGUGAGUAACCUGCCCUUGACUUUGGGAUAACUUCAGGAAACUGGGGCUAAUACCGGUUAGGAGCUCCUGCUGCAUGGUGGGUGUUGGAAAGUUUCGGCGGUUGGGGAUGUACUCGCGGCUUAUCAGCUUGUUGGUGGGGUAGUGGCUUACCAAGGCUUUGACGGGUAGCCGGCCUGAGAGGGGGACCGGCAACAGUGGGACUGAGAUACGGCACAGAGUCGUAAGGGAGGCAGGAGUAGGGAAGAGUGCACAAUGGGCGGAAGCCGGAUGCAGGAACGCCGCGUGAGGGAUGACGGACUUCGGGUUGUAAAGCGCAUUCGCCUGUGACGAAGCGUGAGUGACGGUAAUGGGUAAAGAAGCACCGGCUAACUACGUG